RNAcentral lists this ribosomal RNA (253 nucleotides) under uncultured bacterium. RNAcentral's name for it is "partial 16S ribosomal RNA". It matches the Rfam family "Bacterial small subunit ribosomal RNA", at positions 524 to 776 of the family's 1533-position model. The record is from RNAcentral.
UACAGAGGUCUCAAGCGUUGUUCGGAUUCAUUGGGCGGAAAGGGUGUGUAGGUGGCGCGCUAAGUCGGGUGUGAAAUUUCGGAGCUUAACUCCGAAACUGCAUUCGAUACUGGCGUGCUUGAGGACUGGAGAGGAGACUGGAAUUCAUGGUGUAGCAGUGAAAUGCGUAGAGAUCAUGAGGAAGACCAGUGGCGAAGGCGGGUCUCUGGACAGUUCCUGACACUGAGACACGAAGGCCAGGGGAGCAAACGGG